UACUAACUGUAUUUAGUCCACCCCGUGGCUAAGUGGUUAGGCACGCAUAACCUAAGGAUAAAUGAACUAUUAAUAUGGAGAUAUGUAAACUAUAUUUUGUCCACCGCUAUGGCUCAGAUGUUAGAGAGCCAUCAUAACCUUAGGGUAUCGGGUUUGAUGCUCGAUGCUGAUGAGCAUGCGUGUCCUUGUGUAAGACAUUAAACAGAGAUUGCUCCAACCCAGUGGUCACUAAUGGGUUGUAGCACCCUGGGUGUCCCGGUAAUGGGCUAAAUCACAAGACACACAACGUGCUUCGCUUGAGUUUUGAUCCUGACCGUUAUGUCCAACCUUUGCUUGUUUGGGCGCGUAAACGUUACCGCGCCUGUUGUGACGUCACCAAUGGUUUUGGCGCGAGUCACUACGGCGUCUGUGAUGACGUCAUUGAUUACGCGCAAGGCAUAUCUUUCGCGCGUUUUUUUAUCUUUGUUUUACAAUCAUUAUUCUCUGUUUGCAGUCGUAGUUUAAAAUCAUUUUCGUUAUGUUAGUUCACUGGCUAGGAUUAAUUGUUACUCUCGCAUUUGAGCGUUACUCUGUUUAAGUGGAUAUUAAUUACACCUGACAUAAGCUUCCACUUUCAAUAAAAGAUUCUUCAUAAGAUGGGACGCUUCUGAACGAGCCGAGGCCAUAAUCUGUGAUCUUCAGUACAAACCUCGAGUCCACGACACAGUUUGUGGACUUGAGGUUGCCAUGGGAAUGGAUGGAACUUCCGUGCAAGAAACUCAUGCCUAUGGAAGACCGAGGGUUAUGGGAUCAGGUACUGGUCAAGAUCAUUCAUCAGCGAAACUCGAAACAUCCAAUCAAGUUGUAUUUCUUCAUUCAACAGAAUAUCUCUCAAACUACCUUUCCUGCAAUACUCCGUAAGUACGCAUAUAUGCGGCCAUUCUACGCAAGCGCCUUCAAAUCUUGUGAGGUGAUCAUGAGUGAUGUCUCGCAUCUGAUGAACUCUUCUUGUCAAUUCAACUUUCCUUCUGUUUGUUAACUUUACCACAACUGUUUUAUCCUGUGACGUAACAAUACCAGCAUUCAUGACAAGACAAUAUGACAGCCACUGUUGCUAUGGAAACAAUCAAUAUAACGAUCGCUUCAAUCAAUGUCAACCCUGUGACGUAAUAAAGACGAAGUAUUGGUCGUAAUAUUCCCAAAUGUAUCUCGUAAGCGGGUACGAGGUGUACGAAACAGAACACAAAAUCAAAACGACUGUGGUUGCCUAGCCACGCGAGUAUAAGUUAAAGGUCCGAUUGAUCUGUUUCAAAGCUACGAUACCCAGACACGUAACAAUUUAACGAUCAUCAUACAGGUAUGGCAAGUAUUAUUUUUGACUAUUCUUUUAAAUUGCUAUAGUUACGUAACAGUAGUGUGCGUCAGCGAUUUUUAAACCAUUAUUACGCAAUUGACAAACAAGAUGUCAUCCACAUUUUGGAGCCGGAAAAUUUUCAGAGUAAUUUUGGAGCUAUUUUAGGCGUCACCGAUAGCUUCACGACCUACUUUUAAACUUAGUAAAAACUUCAAUUCCGAUAAUCCGGC
This is a non-coding RNA of Ciona intestinalis (vase tunicate), 1563 nucleotides long. NCBI's taxonomy places the organism in Eukaryota, Metazoa, Chordata, Ascidiacea, Phlebobranchia, Cionidae. The record is from RefSeq and is a predicted model, not a curated record.